Molecule: long non-coding RNA, 712 nt
Organism: Trifolium pratense (red clover)
Lineage: Eukaryota; Viridiplantae; Streptophyta; Magnoliopsida; Fabales; Fabaceae
Exons: 2
Source: RefSeq, a predicted model, not a curated record
UGUUACAGUAUUCAUCAAAAGAAAAAAAUGUUACAGGCUAAAACAUUUCUUUCUCUGUCAAAGGUUUUUUCACGGUGGAAACAUUUCUCUGAAACACAAACUCUGUCCAAUUUUGGCCUCAUCCCAGCGGCGGCGCUGCCUCUCUCCACUGCGUAGUUCUUCUUUCACCGCCGCUUUUUAGGGUUUUGUUGUCUUAAUUCUCUGUUAUUGAAUCUUCUAUUUUUAGGAUUUUUGAAAGUUUGGGAAAUUGGUCUUCUUCUCUCUUCUUAGUUUCACUUGCUUUGUAAAGGGGAGAUCCGCCGUAUCACAUGCUCUCACCGAAAUCACACGAGUUUUCACGCCGAAUCACUAUCGUGUCGCCGCUGUAACCUGAGUUCGCCGCCGCCACUACCUUUGAUUUAUGGAGGAGGUGGAGAACUCGGCUAAAAAGGCAGGCUUGGAAUGGAGGUGGAAAUGACGAUUCCUGAUUCACAAAUCACGAGCAAUAGGACAAGUAUCCAAUAUGAUGCUAUUUUUGUGGCUUUUGAAAGGACCAUAUAUAGGAAUUUAACCGUGUAGACUUGUUUUCAAUUAUGUUAAGUUAUUGGUUUGGAUUAUGAAAGGUGUUAUUGGUUUGGAUUACUGUUAAGUAGUGUAUUUGCUAUGUACUCUUUGGCAUAACUUAUGCCUACACUUAUUUAUUAAUAAAAAUAGCAAAGCCGUGGUUUGCGUC